Molecule: long non-coding RNA, 412 nt
Organism: Oncorhynchus tshawytscha (Chinook salmon)
Lineage: Eukaryota; Metazoa; Chordata; Actinopteri; Salmoniformes; Salmonidae
Exons: 3
Source: RefSeq, a predicted model, not a curated record
GUGUCCAUAGCAGACGAGCAGCAGCACAGAAGAGAUAAAUCAAAUCAUUUACCACAUUAACAUUACAGGUAGCAUUAGCCUCCAAGACAUUUACAUAAUGACUUACUGCGCUAAUAGCAGGUAGCAUUAGCCUCCAAGACAUUUACAUAAUGACUUACUGCGCUAAUAGCAGGUAGCAUUAGCCUCCAAGACAUUUACAUAAUGACUUACUGCGCUAAUAGCAGGUAGCAUUAAUAGCAGGUAGCAUUAAUAGCAGGUAGCAUUAGCCUCCAAGACAUUUACAUAAUGACUUACUGCGCUAAUAGCAGGUAGCAUUAGCCUCCAAGACAUUUACAUAAUGACUUACUGCGCUAAUAGCAGGUAGCAUUAAUAGCAGGUAGAAUUAGCCUCCAAGACAUUUACAUAAUGACUU